RNAcentral lists this ribosomal RNA (1576 nucleotides) under Lactiplantibacillus plantarum. RNAcentral's name for it is "Lactobacillus plantarum 16S ribosomal RNA". It matches the Rfam family "Bacterial small subunit ribosomal RNA". The record is from RNAcentral. Lineage: Bacteria; Bacillati; Bacillota; Bacilli; Lactobacillales; Lactobacillaceae.
UUAAUUUGAGAGUUUGAUCCUGGCUCAGGACGAACGCUGGCGGCGUGCCUAAUACAUGCAAGUCGAACGAACUCUGGUAUUGAUUGGUGCUUGCAUCAUGAUUUACAUUUGAGUGAGUGGCGAACUGGUGAGUAACACGUGGGAAACCUGCCCAGAAGUGGGGGAUAACACCUGGAAACAGAUGCUAAUACCGCAUAACAACUUAGACCGCAUGGUCCGAGUUUGAAAGAUGGCUUCGGCUAUCACUUUUGGAUGGUCCCGCGGCGUAUUAGCUAGAUGGUGAGGUAACGGCUCACCAUGGCAAUGAUACGUAGCCGACCUGAGAGGGUAAUCGGCCACAUUGGGACUGAGACACGGCCCAAACUCCUACGGGAGGCAGCAGUAGGGAAUCUUCCACAAUGGACGAAAGUCUGAUGGAGCAACGCCGCGUGAGUGAAGAAGGGUUUCGGCUCGUAAAACUCUGUUGUUAAAGAAGAACAUAUCUGAGAGUAACUGUUCAGGUAUUGACGGUAUUUAACCAGAAAGCCACGGCUAACUACGUGCCAGCAGCCGCGGUAAUACGUAGGUGGCAAGCGUUGUCCGGAUUUAUUGGGCGUAAAGCGAGCGCAGGCGGUUUUUUAAGUCUGAUGUGAAAGCCUUCGGCUCAACCGAAGAAGUGCAUCGGAAACUGGGAAACUUGAGUGCAGAAGAGGACAGUGGAACUCCAUGUGUAGCGGUGAAAUGCGUAGAUAUAUGGAAGAACACCAGUGGCGAAGGCGGCUGUCUGGUCUGUAACUGACGCUGAGGCUCGAAAGUAUGGGUAGCAAACAGGAUUAGAUACCCUGGUAGUCCAUACCGUAAACGAUGAAUGCUAAGUGUUGGAGGGUUUCCGCCCUUCAGUGCUGCAGCUAACGCAUUAAGCAUUCCGCCUGGGGAGUACGGCCGCAAGGCUGAAACUCAAAGGAAUUGACGGGGGCCCGCACAAGCGGUGGAGCAUGUGGUUUAAUUCGAAGCUACGCGAAGAACCUUACCAGGUCUUGACAUACUAUGCAAAUCUAAGAGAUUAGACGUUCCCUUCGGGGACAUGGAUACAGGUGGUGCAUGGUUGUCGUCAGCUCGUGUCGUGAGAUGUUGGGUUAAGUCCCGCAACGAGCGCAACCCUUAUUAUCAGUUGCCAGCAUUAAGUUGGGCACUCUGGUGAGACUGCCGGUGACAAACCGGAGGAAGGUGGGGAUGACGUCAAAUCAUCAUGCCCCUUAUGACCUGGGCUACACACGUGCUACAAUGGAUGGUACAACGAGUUGCGAACUCGCGAGAGUAAGCUAAUCUCUUAAAGCCAUUCUCAGUUCGGAUUGUAGGCUGCAACUCGCCUACAUGAAGUCGGAAUCGCUAGUAAUCGCGGAUCAGCAUGCCGCGGUGAAUACGUUCCCGGGCCUUGUACACACCGCCCGUCACACCAUGAGAGUUUGUAACACCCAAAGUCGGUGGGGUAACCUUUUAGGAACCAGCCGCCUAAGGUGGGACAGAUGAUUAGGGUGAAGUCGUAACAAGGUAGCCGUAGGAGAACCUGCGGCUGGAUCACCUCCUUUCUAAGGAA